Molecule: ribosomal RNA, 446 nt
Filed under: uncultured bacterium
Lineage: Bacteria
Description: bacterial SSU rRNA
Rfam family: Bacterial small subunit ribosomal RNA
Source: RNAcentral
CCCCAGACUCCUACGGGAGGCAGCAGUGGGGAAUAUUGCACAAUGGGGGAAACCCUGAUGCAGCGACGCCGCGUGAGCGAUGAAGUAUUUCGGUAUGUAAAGCUCUAUCAGCAGGGAAGAAGAUGACGGUACCUGACUAAGAAGCCCCGGCUAACUACGUGCCAGCAGCCGCGGUAAUACGUAGGGGGCAAGCGUUAUCCGGAUUUACUGGGUGUAAAGGGAGCGUAGACGGCGAUGCAAGCCAGAUGUGAAAGCCCGGGGCUCAACCCCGGGACUGCAUUUGGAACUGUGUGGCUGGAGUGUCGGAGAGGCAGGCGGAAUUCCUAGUGUAGCGGUGAGAUGCGUAGAUAUUAGGAGGAACACCAGUGGCGAAGGCGGCCUGCUGGACGAUGACUGACGUUGAGGCUCGAAAGCGUGGGGAGCAAACAGGAUUAGAUACCCCAGUA